GAAUAGAUACCCCGGUAGUCCACGCCGUAAACGAUGAGUGCUAAGUGUUAGAGGGUUUCCGCCCUUUAGUGCUGCAGCAAACGCAUUAAGCACUCCGCCUGGGGAGUACGGUCGCAAGACUGAAACUCAAAGGAAUUGACGGGGGCCCGCACAAGCGGUGGAGCAUGUGGUUUAAUUCGAAGCAACGCGAAGAACCUUACCAGGUCUUGACAUCCUUCGCUACUUCUAGAGAUAGAAGGUUCCCCUUCGGGGGACGGAGUGACAGGUGGUGCAUGGUUGUCGUCAGCUCGUGUCGUGAGAUGUUGGGUUAAGUCCCGCAACGAGCGCAACCCUUGACCUUAGUUGCCAGCAUUUAGUUGGGCACUCUAAGGUGACUGCCGGUGACAAACCGGAGGAAGGUGGGGAUGACGUCAAAUCAUCAUGCCCCUUAUGACCUGGGCUACACACGUGCUACAAUGGAUGGUACAAAGGGCUGCAAGACUGCAAAGUCAAGCCAAUCCCAUAAAACCAUUCUCAGUUCGGAUUGCAGG
RNAcentral lists this ribosomal RNA (530 nucleotides) under uncultured bacterium. RNAcentral describes it as "bacterial SSU rRNA". It matches the Rfam family "Bacterial small subunit ribosomal RNA", at positions 776 to 1304 of the family's 1533-position model. The record is from RNAcentral.